Molecule: ribosomal RNA, 497 nt
Filed under: uncultured bacterium
Lineage: Bacteria
Description: partial 16S ribosomal RNA
Rfam family: Bacterial small subunit ribosomal RNA
Source: RNAcentral
GAUGAACGCUGGCGGCGUGCCUAAUACAUGCAAGUCGAGCGAACAGACGAGGAGCUUGCUCCUCUGACGUUAGCGGCGGACGGGUGAGUAACACGUGGAUAACCUACCUAUAAGACUGGGAUAACUUCGGGAAACCGGAGCUAAUACCGGAUAAUAUAUUUAAACGCAUGGUUCAAUAGUGAAAGACGGUAUUGCUGUCAUUUAUAGAUGGAUCCGCGCCGCAUUAGCUAGUGGGUAAGGUAACGGUUUACCAAGGCAACGAUGCGUAGCCGACCUGAGAGGGUGAUCGGCCCAGCUGGACCUGGGCCACGGUCCAGACUCCUCCGGGAGGAAGCGGUAGGGAAUCUUCCGCAAUGGGCGAAAGCCUGACGGGGCAACGCCGCGUGAGUGAUGAAGGUCUUCGGAUCGUAAAACUCUGUUGUUAGGGAAGAACAAAUGUGUAAGUAACUAUGCACGUCUUGACGGUACCUAAUCAGAAAGCCACGGCUAACUACGUG